RNAcentral lists this unclassified non-coding RNA (281 nucleotides) under Hevea brasiliensis (rubber tree). Lineage: Eukaryota; Viridiplantae; Streptophyta; Magnoliopsida; Malpighiales; Euphorbiaceae. The record is from RNAcentral.
AACCAAAAAAAAAAAUCAACCAGAAGGAAAAUCAUGUAGUAUUCAUUAGUGAUAACUGUGAUCAGGCAAUGUUGUCCCAAUCACAAAAUUAUCUAAUUUUUGGAUUCAUUCAUGGAAAUCUCUUGCGAAGUUGCAUCAUACAUUUGAAAAUCAUACUAAGUUCCCCUUCAAAAAUAAUUAAAGGAACAUGUAGAAAAAUAGAAAUACUGAUGCCUAGUGAACAGAAGCCGUAAGGUUGAAGUUUUAAGUAAUAUGCUCCUAGGAUACUAUCAAGUUGUCCA